This 386-nucleotide ribosomal RNA is filed under the name uncultured bacterium. RNAcentral describes it as "bacterial SSU rRNA". It matches the Rfam family "Bacterial small subunit ribosomal RNA", at positions 29 to 417 of the family's 1533-position model. The record is from RNAcentral.
AUUGAACGCUAGCGGGAUGCCUUACACAUGCAAGUCGAACGGCAGCGCGGACUUCGGUCUGGCGGCGAGUGGCGAACGGGUGAGUAAUGUAUCGGAACGUGCCCAGUAGCGGGGGACAACCACUCGAAAGAGUGGCUAAUACCGCAUACGCCCUACGGGGAAAGGGGGGAGUCGCAAGACCUCUCACUAUUGGAGCGGCCGAUAUCGGAUUAGCUAGUUGGUGGGGUAAAGGCCUACCAAGGCGACGAUCCGUAGCUGGUCUGAGAGGACGACCAGCCACACUGGGACUGAGACACGGCCCAGACUCCUACGGGAGGCAGCAGUGGGGAAUUUUGGACAAUGGGGGAAACCCUGAUCCAGCCAUUCCGCGUGUGCGAUGAAGGCCU